AGCAGCCGCGGUAAUUCCAGCUCCAAUAGCGUAUAUUAAAGUUGUUGCAGUCAAAAAGCUCGUAGUUGAAUUUCGGGAUCAAUACGUCGGUCGUGCUUCGGUACGUACUGGCGUGAUUGAUUUCUCCCUUCUGACGAACCAUGAUGUCAUUUAUUUGGUGUCGUGGGGAAUCAGGACUGUUACUUUGAAAAAAUCAGAGUGUUUAAAGCAGGCUCACGCUUGAAUACAUUAGCAUGGAAUAAUGAAAUAGGACGUUUGAUUCUAUUUUGUUGGUUUCUAGGAUCGACGUAAUGAUUAAUAGGGAUAGUUGGGGGCAUUAGUAUUCAAUUGUCAGAGGUGAAAUUCUUGGAUUUAUUGAAGACUAACUACUGCGAAAGCAUUUGCCAAGGAUGUUUUCAUUAAUCAAGAACGAAAGUUAGGGGAUCGAAGACGAUCAGAUACCGUCGUAGUCUUAACCAUAAACUAUGCCGACUAGGGAUCGGAUGAUGUUAAUUUUUAAUGUACU
RNAcentral lists this ribosomal RNA (505 nucleotides) under uncultured Glomus. RNAcentral describes it as "SSU rRNA". It matches the Rfam family "Eukaryotic small subunit ribosomal RNA", at positions 569 to 1078 of the family's 1831-position model. The record is from RNAcentral. Lineage: Eukaryota; Fungi; Glomeromycota; Glomeromycetes; Glomerales; Glomeraceae.